This 253-nucleotide ribosomal RNA is filed under the name uncultured bacterium. RNAcentral's name for it is "partial 16S ribosomal RNA". It matches the Rfam family "Bacterial small subunit ribosomal RNA", at positions 524 to 776 of the family's 1533-position model. The record is from RNAcentral.
UACAUGUGGGGCAAGCGUUGUUCGGAAUUACUGGGCAUAAAGGGUGCGUAGGCGGUUUGUUAAGUCACUGGUGAAAGUUUUCGGCCCAACCGGAAAAUUGCCUGUGAUACUGGCGAACUUGGGUGCGUGAGGGGUGGGGGGAACGAGCAGUGUAGCGGUGAAAUGCGUAGAUAUUGCUCGGAAGGCCGGAGCCGAAGGGGCCCCACUGGUACGUAACUGACGCUGAGGCACGAAAGCGUGGGGAGCAAACAGG